CCUGAAACAACGCAGAGCAUGUAUUAUCAUUUCUAUUAUUAGCAGUCUGUACAGUUAUUUAUAAAUGGAUGCAGAUGAUCAAAGCUGAUUGGCUUCCCAGUGACACUGUCAGGGUCCCUGUGCCUACCCGGUCGGCUCAGUAUGGCUACAUAUGUUUUUAUUUUCUUUUUUGUUCCUGCUCUCUCCCUUCCCCUCUUUUCCUCCUCCCUCUGCCUGGGCGGAGCUCACCUGUGGGCUCCUGCCCUUGGCCCACGCACCUGGUCGCGAUCACGCACCUGUGGCUCAUCACGAGAGUGUUCCAGCUCCUUUAUAAGAUGGCAGCUCUGCGUUUCUCGUUGCUGGAUCGUUGCCGACCCUCAGUAUUCCCUGGACCAACCCCUGUGUUACCUGAGUGAUUGGAGUAUGAAGAGGCGCGUGAGGGGUGGACGGAAUGAGUGUGUGACUUUCGGCGUCUUUCCCAUUCGUGUGUGGACCCCCGGAGCCCGGCUUUCCCCUCACCUUUGUAAAUAGAUCACCUGGUGUAUUGUAAUAAAGACUCUUGUGCUUUCAAGACCUAGAGCCUGCACGUGAGUCCGUUCAGUCCCGUUGUGACAGACUCCUGUUUCACUGUGUUUAAGUGUAAGUGAACCAGCACCCCAGGCCAAACUCAGAAGACCAUUUUAUUGGUAUCAUACUAUAAUAUUAUGGUAAUGUAAGCACUCUGUUUAGCAAAGCAAUGUGUGAAGAUGAAAUAAAAUGGUUUAUCACACUAACUUGUUUUUAGCAGAUAUGUACUACUGAAUCAUUUGUGUAUUUCUCACAGAACAAGCCGGUACACUCAGACUGCUUAUGAACACCUGUUCUGAAGGCAAAACGAGGUCAAACCCUGAACAAGCAAGGAAACUGGCAGCAGGUGGAUGCUGCUGCUGCUGCUGCUGCCUCUGAUGAUGUCAAUGACGCGAUUUGGUAUUGGAAACUCCAGGUUCCUUUGCCACUUUUGCUAUAUCUUCUAUCAGGAACCUACAGGCGUGAUUACAAGUAAAGACAGAAAUCAGCCACCUGGUACAACCACUUCACUGUAUUAGAAAUCUCAGUCUAGAGCUACUUGGCGCCUUGACCUCAUCACCCUGCAUAUUCAUCACACUGGAUAAUUAGGACUGCAUUCUUGGAAAUAUGUGAUGUUUUGCAAGAACUACAGAUUUAUGGGUAUAGCAUCUGAACAUCGAUAUCAGCUUUAUUUAUGGUAAAAAUGUUGCAAAAUGUACACGCUUGUAGAAUAAAAUGUGAGAACGUGUUAAAAAAAACUUUGAAAUUGUAAUUGAAUAUUUUCCCUUGUAAAAAUGCUUCAGACGCUUGUGUUUAAGUUACUGUAAAAUAAGUAAAUAUCAGUAAAUAUGCCAUUUACUGAAGGUGGUGGAAAUGUUGUGGUUAUAUAAAUUGUUUUGGGUAAAUGUUAAAAAAAAAGAAUAGGGCAUGGAGAGUUUUAAAUUCAGUUAUUAUUAUAAUAAACAUUGACUUUUUCCCAGGGGGGAGAGGGAUACAUUACUAUAAGAAAAUAAAAUAAAUUGCAUUGGAUCAGCCAAAUUAUUAUUUUGUAUAUCAGUACUGGGCCAGUGCAUCCUUAUUAAGCUCCGGGUGUGGGAUUUAAGUGGUUGAUUUAGCCUUAAACAGGAAUUUCCUCUUGGAUACUUCAUCCAUAAAAUAAUCAUCCACAGUUUAUAUGCUGGUGUGUAACACGUCACAAUAAAAUGACAAUAUUUUGAUGAUGGUUUUAUCUGUACUGAGCUUCCUGUCUUGGCAAAGCACACAGAAACAGUGCAGGGAGCAAAGCUGCAGGUUUUAAUAACAGUGUUUUGAACAGUCGCCUCAGACUCUCGCAGCUGCUUAUGAAUUGGUCAUAAGGAUGCUUUCUGUUUGUUACUCUAGAUGAUCCCUAAGUUGGGACUGCUCCAGCUGCUAAGAUUUAAGGAGAAAUUAAAGUCAGAAGACACCAGGUGCAUGAGAACAGACGAGAAAAAUGAUUUGUUGGUGAACAAUUCGAUCCCUGGACAAAAAAAAAGAAAACUGCCCUUUUAACCUUCAACCAAAGUCCCUACAGAGCGUCUCCAAGGCAGAAAAAUGACUGCUUCAGCUGUGAACAUCUGCGUAUUUGAAUUUG
Long non-coding RNA from Astatotilapia calliptera (eastern happy), 2137 nucleotides. NCBI's taxonomy places the organism in Eukaryota, Metazoa, Chordata, Actinopteri, Cichliformes, Cichlidae. The record is from Ensembl.